GACGAACGCUGGCGGCGUGCUUAACACAUGCAAGUCGAACGGAAAGGCCCUGCUUUUGUGGGGUGCUCGAGUGGCGAACGGGUGAGUAACACGUGAGUAACCUGCCCUUGACUUUGGGAUAACUUCAGGAAACUGGGGCUAAUACCGGAUAGGAGCUCCUGCUGCAUGGUGGGGGUUGGAAAGUUUCGGCGGUUGGGGAUGGACUCGCGGCUUAUCAGCUUGUUGGUGGGGUAGUGGCUUACCAAGGCUUUGACGGGUAGCCGGCCUGAGAGGGUGACCGGCCACAUUGGGACUGCGAUACGGCCCAGACUCCUACGGGAGGCAGCAGUGGGGAAUAUUGCACAAUGGGCGGAAGCCUGAUGCAGCAACGCCGCGUGCGGGAUGACGGCCUUCGGGUUGUAAACCGCUUUCGACUGUGACGAAGCGUGAGUGACGGUAAUGGGUAAAGAAGCACCGGCUAACUACGUG
This 468-nucleotide ribosomal RNA is filed under the name uncultured bacterium. RNAcentral's name for it is "partial 16S ribosomal RNA". It matches the Rfam family "Bacterial small subunit ribosomal RNA", at positions 28 to 507 of the family's 1533-position model. The record is from RNAcentral.